Molecule: non-coding RNA, 134 nt
Filed under: Carboxydocella thermautotrophica DSM 16521
Lineage: Bacteria; Bacillati; Bacillota; Clostridia; Eubacteriales; Clostridiales Family XVI. Incertae Sedis
Description: Carboxydocella sporoproducens DSM 16521 Molybdenum/Tungsten riboswitch aptamer (Moco RNA motif)
Rfam family: Molybdenum/Tungsten riboswitch aptamer (Moco RNA motif)
Source: Rfam by way of RNAcentral
AUAAAUAAAUAACUCCGAGCCCGGAAAGCCUAAGGCUGAAAGCUAUGGCGCCGGGACGACCGCUUGCCGGUCCGGGGUAGCCGGGGAAACCUGACUGCCUCCCCUGUUUGGAAAGGAGUUUCGUUUGGACACUU